AUUGAACGCUGGCGGAAUGCUUUACACAUGCAAGUCGAACGGUAGAGGGGGCAACCCCUUGAGAGUGGCGAACGGGUGAGUAAUAUAUCGGAACGUGCCCAGUCGUGGGGAUAACGUAGCGAAAGUUACGCUAAUACCGCAUACGAUCUAAGGAUGAAAGCGGGGGAUCGCAAGACCUCGCGCGAUUGGAGCGGCCGAUAUCAGAUUAGGUAGUUGGUGAGGUAAAGGCUCACCAAGCCAACGAUCUGUAGCUGGUCUGAGAGGACGACCAGCCACACUGGAACUGAGACACGGUCCAGACGUCCUACGGGAGGCAGC
This 318-nucleotide ribosomal RNA is filed under the name uncultured bacterium. Its description in RNAcentral is "bacterial SSU rRNA". It matches the Rfam family "Bacterial small subunit ribosomal RNA", at positions 30 to 352 of the family's 1533-position model. The record is from RNAcentral.